RNAcentral lists this ribosomal RNA (408 nucleotides) under uncultured bacterium. RNAcentral's name for it is "partial 16S ribosomal RNA". It matches the Rfam family "Bacterial small subunit ribosomal RNA", at positions 28 to 526 of the family's 1533-position model. The record is from RNAcentral.
GACGAACGCUGGCGGCGUGCUUAACACAUGCAAGUCGAACGGAGUGGCGAACGGGUGAGUAUUACGUGAGUAACCUGCCCUCAACUGUGGGAUAAGCCUGGGAAACUGGGUCUAAUACUGCAUAGUUGGGGAUGGGCUCGCGGCCUAUCAGCUUGUUGGUGGGGUGAUGGCCUACCAAGGCGGUGACGGGUAGCCGGCCUGAGGGGGUGGUAGGCCCCAUUGGGACGGGGUUACGGCCCAGACUCCUACGGGAGGCAGCAGUGGGGGAUAUUGCACAAUGGGGGCAAGCCGGAUGCAGCGACGCGGGGUGAGGGAUGAAGGUUUUCGGUGUGUAAACCUCUUUGGGUACAGAACGGGUAUGUGAAGAAGAAUCGCAGGCUAACUACGUGCCAGCAGCCGCGGUAAUAC